This 506-nucleotide ribosomal RNA is filed under the name uncultured bacterium. RNAcentral's name for it is "bacterial SSU rRNA". It matches the Rfam family "Bacterial small subunit ribosomal RNA", at positions 24 to 518 of the family's 1533-position model. The record is from RNAcentral.
UCAGGAUGAACGCUAGCUACAGGCUUAACACAUGCAAGUCGAGGGGCAGCAUGGGAGUUGCUUGCAACUUCCGAUGGCGACCGGCGCACGGGUGAGUAACGCGUAUCCAACCUUCCCCCUAGUAGGGCACAGCCCGGCGAAAGUCGGAUUAAUACCCUAUGUUGUUUGAAGCGGACAUCUAAUUCAAACCAAAGAUUCAUCGCUAGUGGAUGGGGAUGCGUCUGAUUAGCUUGAUGGCGGGGUAACGGCCCACCAUGGCGACGAUCAGUAGGGGUUCUGAGAGGAAGGUCCCCCACAUUGGAACUGAGACACGGUCCAAACUCCUACGGGAGGCAGCAGUGAGGAAUAUUGGUCAAUGGAGGCAACUCUGAACCAGCCAAGUAGCGUGCAAGGAUGACGGCCCUAUGGGUUGUAAACUGCUUUUACGAGGGGAUAACCGAUGCCACGUGUGGCAUUUUGCAUGUACCUCGUGAAUAAGGACCGGCUAAUUCCGUGCCAGCCGCCGC